AAACAAUUAAGAACAAGCUAGAGGUGAGGUUUGAAAGCGGGGACUCAGAGCCAAAGCACCAGAUAAACCAAAUGAAAUCAAUGUCCAAGUUGAUAGUUCUAAGCUGCGAUAUGAUCGAAUUCUACUCAAAAACGUUAGCCAUGCCUUGUUAUCAAUCAAUCUGACUCUUAUGGUCGACUU
This 180-nucleotide small RNA is filed under the name Arabidopsis thaliana (thale cress). Its description in RNAcentral is "ATSL272530". Lineage: Eukaryota; Viridiplantae; Streptophyta; Magnoliopsida; Brassicales; Brassicaceae. The record is from RNAcentral.